AUGGCGGCGGCGGCGGCCCAGCUGGCCAACGCCGGCUUCCCUAACCAGUACUGGCCGGCGCCGUCGACCCCUUCCACCGGCUUCCCGACGUACGGCUGGGAGAACGCCCACGCCACCUUCUACGGCUCCGACUCCGGCCUCGGUCACGACUUCGGCGGCGCGUGCGGGUACAGCGGCAGCGACAUCGCCUCGCUCUACUCGACGAGGACGGCGGCGCUGAGCACCCCGCUGUUCGCCAAAGGGGACGGUUGCGGGCGGUGCUACGAGAUCCGGUGCGUGCAGUCCAAGUGGUGCGUGCCGGGGUCGCCCUCCGUCGUCAUCACCGGCACCAACCUCUGCCCGCCAAACUGGUACCAGGACAGCAACGACGGCGGCUGGUGCAACCCGCCGCGCAGGCACUUCGACAUGGCGCCGCCCUCCUUCUACAAGCUCGCUGCCAGGGUCGCCGGGAUCGUGCCCGUCCAGUUCCGCCGCGUGCCGUGCGAGAGGAGCGGCGGCGUCCAGUUCUGCCUCAUGGGGAACCCCUACUGGCUGCUCGUCCACGUCAACAAUGUCGGCGGCGGCGGUGACAUCGGCCAGAUAGCUGUCAGGGAGACAGGCGGGGUGUGGAUCCAGAUGACGCAGAACUGGGGGAUCACGUUCCAGGCCUUCUUCGAGCUGGACAGGUCCAAGGGGCUCCAAUUCAUGAUCACCGGCGGUACCGACCGCAAGACCAUCGUCGUCGGCGACGCCGUCCCCGCCUGGUGGAGCACCGGCCUCUGCUACCAGGGAUCAAACAACUUCUGGUAG
This 789-nucleotide ribosomal RNA is filed under the name Triticum aestivum (bread wheat). RNAcentral describes it as "partial small subunit ribosomal RNA". The record is from RNAcentral. Lineage: Eukaryota; Viridiplantae; Streptophyta; Magnoliopsida; Poales; Poaceae.